AUGACAAAGGGCAAGCGGGUGAUCAACUUCUCAAGUAGUCUGCAGGCGAACGUACAUGAAGUAACACACACUCCACGCUGGGAGGCUCCUCAAGCAGAUCAUGCAAAACUGAACAUUGAUGGUUCUUUUCUGAAGGAAGAUGGAACGACUGGAGCUGCUAUGCUCUUGCGGGAUCAUGAAGGUGCUGUGAUCUUCGCAGCGACAAGGGUGCUCUUCAAUUGCGGUGACCCCCUAGAGGCUGAAGUGGCGGCGAUGGAAGAAGGGUUUCGGCUUGCCCUCCAAUGGCCGGACAUAUCGUUGAUUGUUGAGACGGAUUGUGCCGAGUUGUUGAAGAUGAUGCAACCUAAAGAUACUGACCGUUUGAGGCAUGCAUUUCGUAUUAAUGAGAUGAGAAGAAAGGAACAUUAG
Molecule: ribosomal RNA, 408 nt
Filed under: Triticum aestivum (bread wheat)
Lineage: Eukaryota; Viridiplantae; Streptophyta; Magnoliopsida; Poales; Poaceae
Description: partial small subunit ribosomal RNA
Source: RNAcentral